This is a non-coding RNA of Chrysemys picta bellii (western painted turtle), 453 nucleotides long. Lineage: Eukaryota; Metazoa; Chordata; Testudines; Emydidae. The record is from RefSeq and is a predicted model, not a curated record.
AGAAACUGGAGCCUGUUCAUGAGUCUCUUUCUUGCCUGUUUGUUUCUUUGCUAAUUCUCCAGUUUUGUUGUCAUGUGAAAAUUUGAUCAAGAUUGAAUUUACACCAGUCACAGAAGAGGAUGGCACCAAGUGACCUGGAGAGAUUAGAUCAGUGGGGGCUGCUGGAAAUCAUGAGGGAAUUGCUCCUAACAGCUGGAGACCAGACAGAAGCAGAAUUGAUCAAUUAACAGUGUUUCCACCAUCCGGUGGCUGGGCUUGCGGUGUGUGCCCAGACUUGAAUCAGCAGCACUAUCAGGCUUGCUGUGGGAUGAGACAAAGUGACAUGCACUUGGUCUCUCUGCCAAAGGAAGAGAGCUCUGUGUAGCUCGAAAGCUUGUCUCUCUCAACAAAAGAAGUUGGUCUGGUAAAAGCUAUUACCUCCCCCACCGUGUCUAAUAUCCUGAGACUGACACA